CCCUGUGGCUCAGUUGGUAGAGCAUGGUGUUUGCAACGCCAGGGUUGUGGGUUUGAUUCCCACUGGGG
RNAcentral lists this transfer RNA (68 nucleotides) under Salmo salar (Atlantic salmon). It matches the Rfam family "tRNA". Rfam says of the family: Transfer RNA (tRNA) molecules are approximately 80 nucleotides in length. Their secondary structure includes four short double-helical elements and three loops (D, anti-codon, and T loops). Lineage: Eukaryota; Metazoa; Chordata; Actinopteri; Salmoniformes; Salmonidae. The record is from Rfam by way of RNAcentral.